ACAAUUGUCUCAUGAAUUCGUGGU
RNAcentral lists this non-coding RNA (24 nucleotides) under Arabidopsis thaliana (thale cress). Lineage: Eukaryota; Viridiplantae; Streptophyta; Magnoliopsida; Brassicales; Brassicaceae. The record is from RNAcentral.